AGAACGAACGCUGGCGGCAGGCUUAACACAUGCAAGUCGAACGCGUGUAGCAAUACACGAGUGGCGCACGGGUGAGUAACGCGUGGAUAUCUGCCUUUUGGUUCGGAAUAACCCCGGGAAACUGGGGCUAAAUACCGGAUGGUUCCUACGGGAUAAAGAUUUAUCGCCAAAAAGAUGAGUCCGCGUACGAUUAGCUAGUUGGUGAGGUAAUGGCUCACCAAGGCGACGAUCGUUAGCUGGUCUGAGAGGACGAUCAGCCACACUGGGACUGAGACACGGCCCAGACUCCUACGGGAGGCAGCAGUGGGGAAUAUUGGACAAUGGGGGCAACCCUGAUCCAGCCAUGCCGCGUGAGUGAUGAAGGCCUUAGGGUUGUAAAGCUCUUUCGCCCGCGACGAUGAUGACGGUAGCGGGAGAAGAAGCCCGGCUAACUUCGCGCCAGCAGCCGC
Molecule: ribosomal RNA, 449 nt
Filed under: uncultured bacterium
Lineage: Bacteria
Description: SSU rRNA
Rfam family: Bacterial small subunit ribosomal RNA
Source: RNAcentral